CGAACGGGUGAGUAAUGCGUGACCAACCUGCCCCAUGCUCCAGAAUAGCUCUUGGAAACGGGUGGUAAUGCUGGAUGCUCAACUUGACGCAUGUCCUGUUGGGAAAGUGUUUAGUGGCAUGGGAUGGGGUCGCGUCCUAUCAGCUUGUAGGCGGGGUAAUGGCCCACCUAGGCUUCGACGGGUAGCCGGCCUGAGAGGGCGGACGGCCACAUUGGGACUGAGAUACGGCCCAGACUCCUACGGGAGGCAGCAGGC
This 255-nucleotide ribosomal RNA is filed under the name uncultured Gardnerella sp. Its description in RNAcentral is "partial 16S ribosomal RNA". It matches the Rfam family "Bacterial small subunit ribosomal RNA", at positions 99 to 354 of the family's 1533-position model. Lineage: Bacteria; Bacillati; Actinomycetota; Actinomycetes; Bifidobacteriales; Bifidobacteriaceae. The record is from RNAcentral.